Molecule: unclassified non-coding RNA, 369 nt
Filed under: fungal sp.
Lineage: Eukaryota; Fungi
Description: partial internal transcribed spacer region
Rfam family: Eukaryotic small subunit ribosomal RNA (bases 1-46)
Source: RNAcentral
AAGUCGUAACAAGGUUUCCGUAGGUGAACCUGCGGAAGGAUCAUUAACACGUUUCCAAUAUAAACGUCCCAAACCAAAACUCUGUGAACUAGAGGUCUGCUAAAGUAUUCUUUCCACUCACUGUGGGGAAAAAAUAGCUAGAUUUUUCGAAAUCUAAAAGAUCUCGCAUUUUUAUUUACCAAUCUUUAACCCCAUAAACAAAGAUCAUACAAACCCUCGGGUUUGUAUCUUUUUUGUCUUAAAUAUCUUAUUUUUAAAGAAUUAGGAGAAAUCCUAAUCCUUUUCUAAGGAUUUCAGACAUUUUUUUGUUUGAUUUUCCUUAUGAACCAAAACGUUGAACAACUCUUAGCAACGGAUAUCUUGGUUCCC